This 508-nucleotide ribosomal RNA is filed under the name uncultured bacterium. Its description in RNAcentral is "partial 16S ribosomal RNA". It matches the Rfam family "Bacterial small subunit ribosomal RNA", at positions 28 to 523 of the family's 1533-position model. The record is from RNAcentral.
GAUGAACGCUAGCUACAGGCUUAACACAUGCAAGUCGAGGGGAAACGAUAUUGGAAGCUUGCUUCCGAUAGGCGUCGACCGGCGCACGGGUGAGUAACGCGUAUCCAACCUGCCCACCACUUGGGGAUAACCUUGCGAAAGUAAGACUAAUACCCAAUGACGUCCAUAGAAGACAUCUGAAAUGGAUUAAAGAUUUAUCGGUGAUGGAUGGGGAUGCGUCUGAUUAGCUUGUUGGCGGGGUAACGGCCCACCAAGGCGACGAUCAGUAGGGGUGCUGAGAGAAAGGUCCCCCACAUUGAGACUGAGACACGGUCCACACUCCUACGGGAGGCAGCAGUGAGGAAUAUUGGUCAAUGGGCGAGAGCCUGAACCAGCCAAUUAGCGUGCAGGAUGACGGCCCUAUGGGUUGUAAACUGCUUUUAUAAGGGAAUAAAGUGAGCCUCGUGAGGCUUUUUGCAUGUACCUUAUGAAUAAGGACCGGCUAAUUCCGUGCAAGCCGCCGCCGUAA